Molecule: long non-coding RNA, 363 nt
Organism: Talpa occidentalis (Iberian mole)
Lineage: Eukaryota; Metazoa; Chordata; Mammalia; Eulipotyphla; Talpidae
Exons: 3
Source: RefSeq, a predicted model, not a curated record
CUGGGCCCGGGGUGGCCCUGCUCGCAUUGAUGCCGGGAUGCCAUUGCUCUUCCGCCCUCCUGGCUCACGUCCACUCCAGGCUUUGGGAUCCCAUGCUACAACAUGGAGUUUCCCAAACUUUUUCACAACCUGGCACAGAGUAUGAAAAAAUGUCACACUGGAAUGACUAGUUAAGACCACUGCAGUGGGAAUCACCACCUUGCACCUCCAGCCCCUUAAGGCUAAAGGGCAAUUGUUUUUGAGGAUGCAGUAACACAGAGAACCAAGGACAAAAGCAGUUCAUAAAUUCAGGUUUGUCUAAAGGCAACAGUUCUGCAGUGGAAAAAAUUUUGAGGAGCAAUGAUGAGCCUUCUGAUGCGAGUA